Molecule: unclassified non-coding RNA, 114 nt
Organism: Prolemur simus (greater bamboo lemur)
Lineage: Eukaryota; Metazoa; Chordata; Mammalia; Primates; Lemuridae
Rfam family: Y RNA
About the family: Y RNAs are components of the Ro ribonucleoprotein particle (Ro RNP), in association with Ro60 and La proteins. The Y RNAs and Ro60 and La proteins are well conserved, but the function of the Ro RNP is not known. In humans the RNA component can be one of four small RNAs -- hY1, hY3, hY4 and hY5.
Source: Ensembl
GGCUGGUCCGAAAGUAGUGGGUUAUCUCACUUGAUUGUUCACAGUCAAUUACAGAUUGAACUCCUUGUUCUACUAUUUUCCCCACUUCUCAUUACUGUACUUGACUAGUCUUAA